CACGUAGGGGGCGAGCGUUGUCCGGAUUUAUUGGGCGUAAAGAGCUCGUAGGCGGUUCGAUAAGUCGGGUGUGAAACCUCCAGGCUCAACCUGGAGACGCCACCCGAUACUGUCGUGACUAGAGUCCAGCAGGGGAGCGUGGAAUUCCUGGUGUAGCGGUGAAAUGCGCAGAUAUCAGGAGGAACACCAGUGGCGAAGGCGGCGCUCUGGGCUGGAACUGACGCUGAGGAGCGAAAGCGUGGGGAGCGAACAGG
This 254-nucleotide ribosomal RNA is filed under the name uncultured bacterium. RNAcentral's name for it is "partial 16S ribosomal RNA". It matches the Rfam family "Bacterial small subunit ribosomal RNA", at positions 524 to 776 of the family's 1533-position model. The record is from RNAcentral.